This 120-nucleotide ribosomal RNA is filed under the name uncultured bacterium. Its description in RNAcentral is "partial 16S ribosomal RNA". It matches the Rfam family "Bacterial small subunit ribosomal RNA", at positions 28 to 148 of the family's 1533-position model. The record is from RNAcentral.
GACGAACGCUGGCGGCGUGCUUAACACAUGCAAGUCGAGCGGUAAGGCCCCUUCGGGGGUACACGAGCGGCGAACGGGUGAGUAACACGUGAGCAAUCUGCCCAUCACAUCGGGAUAACU